GUGAACAAUUAAGGGCGCGCGGUGGAUGCCUAGGCUCUCGGAGGCGAAGAAGGACGCGAUAAGCCGCGAUAGUCCACGGCGAGGUGCAAGUAACCCUUGACCCGUGGGUUUCCGAAUGGGGCAACCCGGCCGUCUAGAUGACGGUCAUGCAUUAUCAUGCAGGCGAACGCGGGGAACUGAAACAUCUCAUUACCCGCAGGAGAAGAAAACAAAAUGUGAUUCCCCCAGUAGUGGCGAGCGAACGGGGAAGAGCCCAAACCGCUGCCGUUUCGGCGACAGCGGGGUCAUGGGACCACGCCAUUCGAAACAAGAUGAAGUGCAAUUACCUGGAAAGGUAAGCCGCGGAGGGUGAUAGCCCCGUGCACGUCAAUUCUUGUGGAGAUAGUGGAAUCCCGAGUAGGGCGGGACACGAGAAAUCCUGCCUGAAUUCGCCAGGACCUCCUGGCAAGGCUAAAUACUCCCGAGAGACCGAUAGUGAACCAGUACCGCGAGGGAAAGGUGAAAAGUACCCCGAGCAGGGGGGUGAAAUAGACCCUGAACCCGCGCGCCUACAAGCGGUCGGAGCUGCCUUGUGCAGUGACGGCGUGCCUUUUGCAUAAUGAGCCUACGAGUUAGUCGUCACCAGCGAGGUUAAGGGCUUCAGGCCCGUAAGCCGAAGUGAAAGCGAGCCUUAACAGGGCGUCAAGUUGGUGGCGCUAGACGCGAAACCUUGUGAUCUACCCACGAGCAGGUUGAAGUCGCGGUAACACGUGAUGGAGGACCGAACCGGUAAACGUUGAAAAGUUUUCGGAUGACUCGCGGGUAGGGGUGAAAGGCCAAUCAAACUGGGAAAUAGCUCGUACUCUCCGAAAUGCAUUUCGGUGCAGCCUGUGAUGUUCUGUUCCAGAGGUAGAGCUACUGGUUGGACGCGAGGGCUUCACCGCCUAUCAAAUCCGGAUAAACUCCGAAUGCUGGAACACGAAAUCAUGGAGUGAGCCCGCGGGUGCUAAGGUCCGCGGACGAGAGGGAAAGAACCCGGACCACCGGCUAAGGUCCCGGAUGGACAGUUAAGUUGAUCAAACGAGGUGGGAUCGCUGAGACAGCUAGGAUGUUGGCUUGGAAGCAGCCAUUCAUUUAAAGAGUGCGUAACAGCUCACUAGUCGAGCGAUCCCGCGUGGAUAAUACACGGGCAU
RNAcentral lists this ribosomal RNA (1172 nucleotides) under Butyricimonas virosa. RNAcentral's name for it is "bacterial LSU rRNA". It matches the Rfam family "Bacterial large subunit ribosomal RNA", at positions 1 to 1182 of the family's 2925-position model. Lineage: Bacteria; Pseudomonadati; Bacteroidota; Bacteroidia; Bacteroidales; Odoribacteraceae. The record is from RNAcentral.